UUGUCCAGGCAAAUCCGGAUAAUCAAGGCUGAGGUGUGAUGACGAGGCACUACGGUGCUGAAGUAACAAAUGCCCUGCUUCCAGGAAAAGCCUCUAAGCAUCAGGUAACAUCAAAUCGUACCCCAAACCGACACAGGUGGUCAGGUAGAGAAUACCAAGGCGCUUGAGAGAACUCGGGUGAAGGAACUAGGCAAAAUGGUGCCGUAACUUCGGGAGAAGGCACGCUGGUGUGUAGGUGAAGUCCCUGCGGAUGGAGCUGAGACCAGUCGAAGAUACCAGCUGGCUGCAACUGUUUAUUAAAAACACAGCACUGUGCAAACACGAAAGUGGACGUAUACGGUGUGACGCCUGCCCGGUGCCGGAAGGUUAAUUGAUGGGGUUAUCCGUAAGGAGAAGCUCUUGAUCGAAGCCCCGGUAAACGGCGGCCGUAACUAUAACGGUCCUAAGGUAGCGAAAUUCCUUGUCGGGUAAGUUCCGACCUGCACGAAUGGCGUAAUGAUGGCCAGGCUGUCUCCACCCGAGACUCAGUGAAAUUGAACUCGCUGUGAAGAUGCAGUGUACCCGCGGCAAGACGGAAAGACCCCGUGAACCUUUACUAUAGCUUGACACUGAACAUUGAGCCUUGAUGUGUAGGAUAGGUGGGAGGCUUUGAAGCGUGGACGCCAGUCUGCGUGGAGCCAACCUUGAAAUACCACCCUUUAAUGUUUGAUGUUCUAACGUUGGCCCCUUACCGGGGUUGCGGACAGUGUCUGGUGGGUAGUUUGACUGGGGCGGUCUCCUCCCAAAGCGUAACGGAGGAGCACGAAGGUUAGCUAAUCCUGGUCGGACAUCAGGAGGUUAGUGCAAUGGCAUAAGCUAGCUUGACUGCGAGCGUGACGGCGCGAGCAGGUGCGAAAGCAGGUCAUAGUGAUCCGGUGGUUCUGAAUGGAAGGGCCAUCGCUCAACGGAUAAAAGGUACUCCGGGGAUAACAGGCUGAUACCGCCCAAGAGUUCAUAUCGACGGCGGUGUUUGGCACCUCGAUGUCGGCUCAUCACAUCCUGGGGCUGAAGUAGGUCCCAAGGGUAUGGCUGUUCGCCAUUUAAAGUGGUACGCGAGCUGGGUUUAGAACGUCGUGAGACAGUUCGGUCCCUAUCUGCCGUGGGCGCUGGAGAAUUGAGGGGGGCUGCUCCUAGUACGAGAGGACCGGAGUGGACGCAUCACUGGUGUUCGGGUUGUCAUGCCAAUGGCACUGCCCGGUAGCUAAAUGCGGAAGAGAUAAGUGCUGAAAGCAUCUAAGCACGAAACUUGCCCCGAGAUGAGUUCUCCCUGAGACUUUAAGUCUCCUGAAGGAACGUUGAAGACGACGACGUUGAUAGGCCGGGUGUGUAAGCGCAGCGAUGCGUUGAGCUAACCGGUACUAAUGAACCGUGAGGCUUAACCUUACAACGCCGAAG
RNAcentral lists this ribosomal RNA (1434 nucleotides) under Klebsiella pneumoniae. RNAcentral's name for it is "bacterial LSU rRNA". It matches the Rfam family "Bacterial large subunit ribosomal RNA", at positions 1528 to 2925 of the family's 2925-position model. Lineage: Bacteria; Pseudomonadati; Pseudomonadota; Gammaproteobacteria; Enterobacterales; Enterobacteriaceae. The record is from RNAcentral.